UGCUUCUACAUCCAUUUUAUACACAGUGCCACAUAAUAUACAGAAACUUUUAUAUACAUAUAUCUUUAUAGAAUAUGCUAUAUUAAUCUGUCUCUUUCUUUACAGCAAUAUUAGUUUCGAUCUUUCAUACAUAGGUACAAAAAGUCACAUGAGAAUGGCACGUGAGGAGUGCUUUAGUUUCCUUGUAGUCUUCAUGCUGGGGCAGCAGAAGGGCUUUGCCAGAGGCAUUGGUAUCCACUGACAGAGAGAGAAGUGGGAGGUGAGUUACUGUGUGCCAGUGCUGCUCCUGUUGCAUGAGGCCACCCAAUUGGGUUCUACCCAACGCAGCCAGCACUAAAAAGCCCAAAAAGAUGAGAAAAUGAAUAGUUUCCACCAGUUCCUCUGGUCUUGCUGUCUCUGCUUGUUCACAGCUAUAAGGGAGGACAGGCCAGACCAGUGGCUGUCCCAGCAGGACACUGGAGCAGAGCAUGGAGCCAAAGGAAAGGGUUGUACAGGGCAGAGUGCUCCUCUCCUGCUGCCCCAUGCACACAGGCAGGGAGCCCAUCACAAUAAUCCCUGUGCUGACACGAGUAACUAAGUUUAUUCAUUACAGUAGGAGUUUGAGACUAUUCCCUGGCCAUCACCUCUUCAGUCUGCUGCAGUACACAUGAAGGGAAAGCUGGGAAGCUGUAACCUCAGUAGCCACUUUGCCACCAGACAGGGACCAUCAGCAAGUGCUGUGAUAAAGGAGUUAAGACCCAAAAAGGUGUGUGGCACUAGGAAACACUUCAUGGUGUGAUCACCUUGCACAAGCAGCAUCCCCAAAGCAGUGCAUCAAGAGGACAGACUGUAGAGGUGCCACCAAGCCAGGCUGAGUGAUGGAUGCGCUGCUUUGGGUUGUUCCUAGCACUGCCAUGUGCAUCAGGUAUCUCCAUCUCUGAGCCAUCAGGACUGCACAAAGCCCGGGAUGGAAAGCAGGGCAGUGGAAUCCCAAUAAAACCCAAGGCUUGUUCCUGUGCUCUCUGUGUUCAAUGAGUUUUGUAGAAGUAAGUAGCCAGAUAGAGGUUCUCCCUCAUUAUAUAGCUUGUCCGGGCAGGUAGAGAACUUCAGUAUAUGAAAAGCAGAUCACAGGAUGAUGUGGUGAGGUCCAAGGUGUCCAACACAACAAAGAAAGCAGCAAAAUGCCCAAAUCUCUAAGAAGAGAGCUCACCUUUGAGAGAUGGAUGUUCCAGAGCCAGUGAGAAAUGUCACUAAAUAACUGCAGUGGACAAUUCAGAACAUGGGAAGUCCCCUUCUGGUAAAACCAGAGUCAGAACUUGAAGAGUAGAAAGAAUUUUACUCAUGAAGAGACCUAAGAAGAAGUUUUAUUCAUGAACAGACCUGUUAAACACUGACUGAGGUCACAUACAGCAAAGGUAAGAAGUGGUAGGAAGCCUUCCCUUCCUUCCACAUGGAUAACACUCACUUCGUACAAGGUUCUAGAUUGGAGGGACUGGCCCAAUGGUGGUGUGGGCUUGAGGACAGAGCCUGCCUCAGGUCAGGCUUUGCUGUUGGCACUUGGAUAUGACCUAAGGCAGGAAUCUGAGGCAGAAAGGGAGAACCUGGCAGCAAAGGCAACUCUGAACCAGUCCUUGGCCACGCUGCAUUCCCUUUCACAGACUCAGAGAAGAAAUGACAUGCAGAAGAAAGGAAGCUGGCUGAUGUCCUGUCCCAAGCCAAAGGAAAGCAAAGGCACAACAGGUAUGAACUCAAGAGAACAAGCGAAAAAGAAACCAACAGGAACAGACAGCAAAGUGCUUGGAGACAGAUGAUGCUUUAUAGGACUGCAAGUCCCUAUGGCAAAGGGAGGAAUUGCUCUCUCCUGGAUUGUUAUGAAUUUCCAUGUGUGUGCCCUUAAGCAGACGAAGUUUAGGCUACCAACAUCCUCCCAUGCCAAGGGUAACAGCUCUCAGGGAGGUGCUGGAUGCAGAUACAGUUGGGAGAUGGGAAAGACAGAAGCACAGCAGAAGUGUAGCUGUUUGCAGAAGUCCUGCCACACAUGGAACACGCUGCCCUCCACACAGCAGGGACCUCCUUCCUCAAGUACUUCUCCACUCUAACAACACCGAGUUCACAAACUAAUAGGGCUUAGGUUUCAGGCUCUGUCCACCAGAGGUCUUACACCCAUCCCUCUUAGCAGUGAAGGCCCUGGCUCUCAGAGCUGGAAUAUAAACCCUGAAGCACACAAACCCCAGGCUUGUCCCUGCCACAUCUCAC
RNAcentral lists this long non-coding RNA (2235 nucleotides) under Strigops habroptila (Kakapo). RNAcentral's name for it is "lncRNA (ENSSHBG00005018654.1)". The record is from RNAcentral. Lineage: Eukaryota; Metazoa; Chordata; Aves; Psittaciformes; Psittacidae.